UUGACCUCGGAUCAGGUAGGAAU
RNAcentral lists this ribosomal RNA (23 nucleotides) under Trichoderma harzianum. Its description in RNAcentral is "partial 28S ribosomal RNA". Lineage: Eukaryota; Fungi; Ascomycota; Sordariomycetes; Hypocreales; Hypocreaceae. The record is from RNAcentral. RNAcentral also lists the same sequence under 22 other names.